AUAAUUUUGUGUUUAUUAAUAAAAUAACAUACAGAAUAAUUUUAUCACUUAAAAAACAAAACAUACAAACAAUACGCUAUAAGCAUUAUAUAAUAAGUACGUCACAAAACAACUGAAAUGAUACAACUACAAACAUCUUAACAGAUACAGACUCGUUUAGAAAAAUUCAAAUAUGAAUGAUGAAGAAAAAAUUUUAUAUAAGUUUAUUGAAAAUAAAAUUCUUUUAAAACAAUUCUCAGAAGAAUAUGUCAAAAUCAAAAGUACUGUACAACUAUUAACCCAAGAAUGCAGCAAACAGAAAUUAAAAAAUUGUGAAUUAGAAAAUGAAAUAGAAAAGUAUAGAGCCACAUUGAAUUCUGUUGAGAAAAAAAAAGAUCGAGAAAUUGAGAAUAAUAAUUUUGAACAUGAUUUGAAAAUUAAAAGGUUGGAAAAACAAAUUAAUUUUUUAAAUUCAUGUUUAACUAAAGAGAAAGAAAAUUACAAUUCCAAAAUGAAAGAAUUUAUAAAUCUUAAAUUGGAAAAUGAUAAAUAUAAAUUACAAUUAACUAAUAAUAAUAGUGAUAAUAAUAAUAGUGGUAAUAAUAGUGAUAAUGUUAAUAAUAAUAAUGAUAAUAGUGAUAAUAUUAAUAAACAAAAUAAUAAUAGUAAUAACAUUAGUAAUAAUCAUCAUAUACGUACACAAGACAACUUAAUAAAAGAUGAUAAAAAAAAAAAAAACAUAAAAGCUGGUGAUGGCGAACAAAAUGUAGAAGAAAAUAAUGACAAAGUAUUAAAUCAAAUUUAUGAAGACAUGAAGCAUAAAAUUGAAAAUAUGAAAAAUAAUUUAAUUGAAACUGAAAAUUCAAGGCAUUUUUUAGAAGAAAAAAUAAAAGAUUAUGAUACAUUACUAAAUGAGUAUUUAAAAAAAAUAACAACAAUCAAUUUAAAAUAUGAAGAAUUUUAUAAAUUAUAUAAAGAAGCCGAGCACAAAAACACUCUGAACAAAUCUAAAAAAAAAGUGUUAAAACGUAGAAUAGAAGAAUUAAAAAAUUUAAAUCAAAGUUUAUCAAAUCAAAUUGACACACUAAAAAAAGACAUUAA
RNAcentral lists this long non-coding RNA (1080 nucleotides) under Piliocolobus tephrosceles (Ugandan red Colobus). RNAcentral describes it as "lncRNA (ENSPTEG00000038439.1)". Lineage: Eukaryota; Metazoa; Chordata; Mammalia; Primates; Cercopithecidae. The record is from RNAcentral.